CAGUGCCCUGCUCAGAAACUUACUGCUCCCUGGAACUACACGGCACCAGUACCUUUCUGAGUAGAGUAAGGCUCA
Molecule: microRNA precursor, 75 nt
Filed under: Chinchilla lanigera (long-tailed chinchilla)
Lineage: Eukaryota; Metazoa; Chordata; Mammalia; Rodentia; Chinchillidae
Description: miRNA (ENSCLAG00000021331.1)
Source: RNAcentral